AAACAUAAUUUGGAAGCUCCACUUUUGGACUCUACUUCUCCUCUUUGUUCUAAUACAAAGAAAAAAUGGAGCUUUUUUUCUUUGCUUUUUAUUUGCAUUCAUUGCCAUAACAUUUGUUGGGCUUACACAUCAUGGAGACAUUGGUGUAUGGCUAAUUGGAGAUGUAAAUAGUAGUAGAUAUAAUGAAAGACUACAGCACAAUGCUGAUGUUGUUGAAUCAGAGGAAGCAGUUGUUGCUGCUGAUGAUGGUCGGUGCUCGAAAAUCGGUAUUUCUAUGCUUAAAAUUGGUGGACAUGCAGUUGAUGCUGCAGUUGCCACAGCAUUGUGCCUUGGAGUAGUGAAUCCAAUGGCUAGUGGAAUUGGCGGUGGCGGUUUUAUGGUUGUUAGAUCUUCAUCUACAUCAGAAGUCUUAGCUAUUGACAUGAGGGAAACUGCUCCUUUAGCUGCUUCACAGAACAUGUAUGAUAAUAAUGGGGACUCCAAGUUAAAUGGAGCAUUGUCUAUGGGAGUUCCCGGGGAGCUAGCUGGUCUUCACGCAGCUUGGUCGAAAUAUGGUAGGUUGCCCUGGAAGACACUAUUUCAACCAGCCAUUAAACUUGCCAGGGAGGGAUUCGUGGUUGCUCCAUAUCUCGGAAACUCUAUAGCUAAAAAAGCAAAAUUACUACUUAAAGAUCCUGGCUUGCGACAAGUAUUUGCACCUGAGGGAAAGCCAUUACGAGCAGGUGAAAUUUGUCAUAACGUAGAACUUAGCCACAGCUUAGAGCUAAUUGCUGAACAAGGGCCGGAAGCAUUUUAUAACGGAGAGGUUGGUGAAAAGCUUGUCGAAGAUGUGAAGAGAGCAGGUGGAAUUUUGACGAUGGACGACUUGAGAAAUUACAGAGUGGAAACUCCAGAAGCAGUUACUGUUAAUGCUAUGGGCUAUACAAUCGUUGGAAUGCCACCUCCGUCCAGUGGAACACUCGGGAUUUCUCUGAUUCUUAAAGUCGUUGAAAACUAUGUGAGUUCAAAUGCUGCGAAAGGUGCUUUAGGACUGCAUCGAAUGAUUGAGGCGAUGAAACACAUGCUUGCAGUUCGAAUGAACCUGGGUGAUCCCGACUUUGUAAAUAUCAGUAGUACUGUAUCUGACAUGCUUUCCUCGUCUUUCGCCAAAGAAAUUCAACAAAAGAUCUUUGACAAUACCACCUUUCCUCCUGAAUACUAUUUGCCCAGGUGGAGUCAGCUAAGAGAUCACGGAACGAGUCACUUUUGCAUUGUGGAUUCAGAUCGAAAUGCUGUAUCAGUGACUACCACAGUAAACUAUCCAUUUGGAGGCGGUGUACUCUCUCCAUCAACCGGUAUAGUACUCAACAAUGAAAUGGGAGAUUUCUCAACACCUAAUGAAAUAUCCCCCGAUAAACUCCCUCCCGCUCCUGCUAAUUUUAUUCAACCAAAAAAGAGACCGUUAUCAUCCAUGACUCCAGUUAUCGUUCUCAAGGACAAUCAAUUAGCUGGUGUAAUUGGUGGUAGUGGUGGACUAAAAAUCAUCUUUGCAGUCCUCCAAGUUUUCAUCAACCAUUUCGUCUUGGGGAUGGAUCCUUUAGCUGCAGUACAGAGUCCGAGAGUCUACCACGAGCUAAUCCCAAAUGUUGUUCUGUAUGAGAACUGGACAUGCAUAGAUGGCGAUCACAUUGAACUCUCGGAUGAUAAAAAGCAUUUCUUAGAAGAGAGGGGUCACAAACUUGAGGCAAGAAACGGAGGAGCCAUAUGUCAGUUAAUCGUUCAAAACCUUCCAAAUCCUCCGUUACAGAUGGGCAGAAGGAGCGGAAAAGAGUAUAAAGACGGUAUUUUUCGUGGUCUUCUUGUGGCUGUUAGUGAUCCUAGGAAAGAUGGAAGACCUGCAGCCAUCUGAUGAACUCAUCUUGCUUGAUUUGUGCAUAUGAAUCAGUCUAUUUUUUGUACAUAAUGUUUCGAAAACCGGCUAAAUAUCUCACUUUCCGGAGAAACAGUUUUUUAGCUGUGAUUUCUUUCCAUCUGUCUAAAUCUUGGUAAACAGUGUCUUAUGUACUCGGUGAAACAGUCGAGGUGUAUAAUAUGAAAUAUUCAUAGGAGACUGAAUGAAGAAG
This 2102-nucleotide unclassified non-coding RNA is filed under the name Hevea brasiliensis (rubber tree). The record is from RNAcentral. Lineage: Eukaryota; Viridiplantae; Streptophyta; Magnoliopsida; Malpighiales; Euphorbiaceae.